RNAcentral lists this long non-coding RNA (580 nucleotides) under Elaeis guineensis (African oil palm). RNAcentral describes it as "long non-coding RNA (EGUI_LNC065551)". Lineage: Eukaryota; Viridiplantae; Streptophyta; Magnoliopsida; Arecales; Arecaceae. The record is from RNAcentral.
AGAGGAAAGGAAAGGAAAAGAAGAAAAGAAAAGGAGAGAUGAAAUACUGGCGGGAUCUAGGGGGCUCAAGCCGAUGUUGAACAGAAACUGCUCCUUCAGGAGGUUGGGGAGAGAAAGAGUUGGAUAUUUGAGGAGUUUCUGAGAGGCUUGAUGAUCGUCCCCCCCCAGGCUGGGUGCCCGACGAACGGAGUCCCUCGGGGAGCCCCAAGGGGGCAACUCUAGCCUUAAGGUCGAGCAUCGAACAUAAAGAAACUUCCCCUUCCAAUUAUGGAUAGAAGAGGGGGCACCUUUCAGCAACCCCUUUCUACCGAACUGUAGAGAGAAGUACCACCAGUCCUUCACCGUGGGAUGACGCUUGAAGGUGUAGAAGUAUCUAAACAAGGAAAGGAUGGGCUGGACUUCAACUAUAUGACAAAGAGAAAGGAACCCAAUCAAAAACCUAAAGGAAUUUGGUGCAACCGAAGCCAGAGAAAUGUCCAGAAAUCAGAAAAGAGCAAUGACAAAAGGCGGAAGAGGGAGCCGAAGUCCGGCACGGAAGGCCUCCUAGUACAGGCAGAAGCAGUCGGGGGGAGGGGCACUA